This 497-nucleotide ribosomal RNA is filed under the name uncultured bacterium. Its description in RNAcentral is "partial 16S ribosomal RNA". It matches the Rfam family "Bacterial small subunit ribosomal RNA", at positions 28 to 507 of the family's 1533-position model. The record is from RNAcentral.
GAUGAACGCUGGCGGCGUGCCUAGUACAUGCAAGUCGAGCGAACGGACGAGAAGCUUGCUUCUCUGAUGUUAGCGGCGGACGGGUGAGUAACACGUGGAUAACCUACCUAUAAGACUGGGAUAACUUCGGGAAACCGGAGCUAAUACCGGAUGAUAUUUUGAACCGCAUGGUUCAAAAGUGAAAGACGGUCUUGCUGUCACCUAUAGAUGGAUCCGCGCUGCAUUAGCUAGUUGGUAAGGUAACGGCUUACCAAGGCAACGAUGCAUAGCCGACCUGAGAGGGUGAUCGGCCACACUGGAACUGAGACACGGUCCAGACUCCUACGGGAGGCAGCAGUAGGGAAUCUUCCGCAAUGGGCGAAAGCCUGACGGAGCAACGCCGCGUGAGUGAUGAAGGUCUUCGGAUCGUAAAACUCUGUUAUUAGGGAAGAACAUAUGUGUAAGUAACUGUGCACAUCUUGACGGUACCUAAUCAGAAAGCCACGGCUAACUACGUG